CCCAUAUGGAACACUAAUGGCUCUUCUCUAGGGAAGCCAGGAACCUCAGGAAUUGGAGGUGUUCUCCGAAAUGGGGAACUUUAUUUGCCUCUUUGUUGCUCCAUUUGUUGGAUGGAUUAACAAGUGCAUUGCGUUUUCUUGAAAUACAAGGUAAUUUCUAUGGACAUUCAUAUAUCAGCUUUACACUUCAGCUCCAUCGGAUAUCAGUCUUCUCUUAGAGAAGGAAAUUCGACAGCUGAUUAGCUUGCUAGAUCCGAGAUCAACAGAGCUGAAGAAUUCAUAGUUUGGAUGUAGUCCUUUUUUUUCACUAUAUUUUCCUUCCAGGGUCUGUUUUAUGAUCUUCUUGUAAUGUGUCUUAUCUUUUGCUCCUCUCUAUGUAUCCUCUGGAGAUUUCUUCAGUCUCUACGAGGGCUACUGAAUUAUUAAUGGAAUUUAUUUGAGUUAUAAA
Punica granatum (pomegranate) is the source of this 448-nucleotide non-coding RNA. The record is from RefSeq and is a predicted model, not a curated record. Lineage: Eukaryota; Viridiplantae; Streptophyta; Magnoliopsida; Myrtales; Lythraceae.